AAAAAAUCUUCUAGAAUUCUUAGUCAUAUCUAUAUUCAACCGUGAAAAUGAGGCCAACCAUUUCUUUUAUCAUGUACCAUCCAAAUUGAUGGCCUUCAUAACUGUUUUCUAUAUUUAGUUCAUUUUCAUAAUUUUAAGUGACAUAAUUGCCCUUCCUUCAUAACACUAUAAAUUCAUUUACCUUCAUUCCUCUCCACCGCAUUCUAAGCCACCACACGGAGAAAAUGUCUAAGGUCAUCGCACUUUGUGUAAUAACCCUCCUUCUAUUUCUAACGUUGUCCCAUAUCUGUGCCCGACCAGAGCCAACAUUUCAUGACAUCACUCCCAUGGAAACUCAUAAAGAGGUAAGUAUUUAAACGAGUUUUUCUUCUAUCAUUUUCGUUUUAUUUAUAAAUUUAUGAAUCCUAUAGCGAUAUUUGAUUAUUGAUUAUUUUAUUUACUUGUACUAAUUAGGACCAUGAAGAACAUCUGACAGAUAUGGAUCAAAAGAGCUGUGAUGGAAUUGGAGAAGAUGAAUGCAUGAUGAGAAGAACCCUUGAAGCUCAUCUUGAUUAUAUCUAUACGCAGAAACAAAACCAACCAUAAGAUUUUCUUUCUUCUUUUCGACGAGUUAUACAUACAUAUACACGUGCGCACGUGCACAUAUAUAUGUACGUAUAACGUAUGCUUGAUCUGUUGUGCCAUAUGUAUUUCUAUUUAAAUUAUAUUUAUCAGAGUAUCUAUCAGCUGUGAAUUAUUUGCCAUUAUAUGCCCCGCGCUAUAUACGAAUAUAUCUAUAAAUAUUUCAUCAGCACAUUCAUUGUGUUUCUCUUGUUGUAUACUUUUUUGCUUUAUUUAUCAUUUCGUGUUUGAAUGAUUUUAGUUAGAUAAUUUGUUUUUCAUUCAUUAAUAAUUAAAGUGUAGACGGUUAAGAAGGCAAUAUAUAGGCUACAAAAAAUUAUGUGCCCGGUGAAACUUGGCUUGUUUAGAUGAGUUAAAUAGAUAAGCUAGCAGGAUUUCAAAUACAUCGAAUUAAAAUCAUUUUUCGAAUACGAUAAAUAAUCGAAACUUAGAAAACUUGUCCUUGUUAUGAUAUUAUAUUGCGUUUUUAUAAUCAAGUACAUGCAUAACUAUGUGUUUUAGUAACCAAUCACGAUUUCUCUUAACCACCAAAUUUGGAAUUUUUUUAGGGGUUAAUCAUCAAAGUUUGUCGAAUGAGAUCAAAAUCAUAAAUCCAAGCAAAAGAUUGGUUUACUCAAGGACCAAUCUCAUACUUAAAUGAAUCACACCUCGGUACGGCGUUGAUCAAAUUAAACUACUUAAUUUUCUUGUGAAAGUGUAUUAAAAUGCUUAUAAUUGAUUCAGCCGGACUCAGUGCCAGGCUCAAAAAUAGGGGGGCUAAGGUGGCAUCACCUCAGCCCUCAAUUUCACAUCUUUUUUUUUUUUUUCCAGCUCCAAGAGUCGAGGUGUUGCCGCCUCGGCACCUAGAUUUAGCCCUGUAUUUUGACCUGUUCAAGCAGGUUAAUGCUAAUUGAUUUGGACAGUUGGACCCACAUGUCAUCUUUUAUGAAGAAGCAAUUAUUUUCACUUGGCAUGGAUUGUUACCAAGAGUAGAGUAUGUGUGGAUCACAAGGCUCCACUUGGAGACAUCUUCAUUACUAAAUGAGACCAAAUUAUGGGCAUUACCAGCAAGUUUACAUGUAGCCCUUUGAUGUCAUCACAAGCUCCGUAAUCGAAGAUAUGACUCGGUUGGGGUAAUGAAUGAAAUAUGUCUUUAGACACUCAUUAAUUUUACAACGGUCAAUUGCUAAAUAACUGCAAUCAUGCUAUAUAUUCAGGUUGAAAUUCAAACUCAAAUUCAGAUGAAACACGUGUUGAUGUAUGAUUGGACAGCUUGAAAAAUUAAAACAAAAACACUCAAUUAUUUGCUGACACAUCAAUCUAUCUCUUUCCUUCUUUUUUUAAAUUUGGACAAGUGGCUCUAUUCAAAUAAUUGAGUCUGAAAUGCAAG
RNAcentral lists this long non-coding RNA (1990 nucleotides) under Olea europaea subsp. europaea. Lineage: Eukaryota; Viridiplantae; Streptophyta; Magnoliopsida; Lamiales; Oleaceae. The record is from RNAcentral.